UAACGCGUGGGUAUAUGCCUAUCAGUGGGGAAUAACGACGGGAAACUGUCGCUAAUACCGCAUACGCCCUUAGGGGGAAAGAUUUAUCGCUGAUAGAUGAGCCCGCGUACGAUUAGCUAGUUGGCGAGGUAAUGGCUCACCAAGGCUACGAUCGUUAGCUGGUCUGAGAGGAUGAUCAGCCACACUGGGACUGAGACACGGCCCAGACUCCUACGGGAGGCAGCAGUGGGGAAUAUUGGACAAUGGGCGAAAGCCUGAUCCAGCAAUGCCGCGUGAGUGAUGAAGGCCUUAGGGUUGU
RNAcentral lists this ribosomal RNA (298 nucleotides) under uncultured Sphingomonadaceae bacterium. RNAcentral describes it as "partial 16S ribosomal RNA". It matches the Rfam family "Bacterial small subunit ribosomal RNA", at positions 111 to 426 of the family's 1533-position model. Lineage: Bacteria; Pseudomonadati; Pseudomonadota; Alphaproteobacteria; Sphingomonadales; Sphingomonadaceae. The record is from RNAcentral.